GCGUCGGUGGUUCAGUGGUAGAAUACUCGCCUGCCACGCGGGUGCCCCGGGUUCGAUUCCCGGCCGACGCG
RNAcentral lists this transfer RNA (71 nucleotides) under Rhipicephalus microplus (southern cattle tick). Its description in RNAcentral is "tRNA-Gly". It matches the Rfam family "tRNA". From Rfam's summary of the family: Transfer RNA (tRNA) molecules are approximately 80 nucleotides in length. Their secondary structure includes four short double-helical elements and three loops (D, anti-codon, and T loops). Lineage: Eukaryota; Metazoa; Arthropoda; Arachnida; Ixodida; Ixodidae. The record is from Rfam by way of RNAcentral.